This 1696-nucleotide long non-coding RNA is filed under the name Homo sapiens (human). RNAcentral's name for it is "non-protein coding lnc-ORMDL1-3:1". Lineage: Eukaryota; Metazoa; Chordata; Mammalia; Primates; Hominidae. The record is from RNAcentral.
AGCCAUCAUGCCCAGCCAAUAAAAAUAAUCUUUAUAGGGGAGAUUUAUAGGAGAAGUAGUAUAAAUUUUAGGAGUGGUAGGAUGGUCUGGCUAGGCCAAGAUACUCAGGAAAUAUCUGGCAUUGAAUGCAAAGAAACUCUGAUAACCUGAAAAUAGUCCUAAAGUAUAGUCUUGAGCCUACCUGAAACCAGUUUCAGAGCUCAAAAGUUGCUCUCUAAAGGCUUUUAAAAAUAUCUACAGAAACUUAAUAUUUCCAUUGUUAUAAAUUCUUAUCCUUAAUGGUGCUGGAUAACACAAUUCAUCACUUGAAUAUGUAUCCCUUUCUAGUAUAAAAUAGACCAUUUCCCUCCGCAUUUCCUAUAUUUCAGUCAAUCCACCAGAAAGUUGUGACUCAGCACCAUUAAGAUAAUUUAGAAGUAAAUAUGAAGAUUAAAGAGGUCUCUUAUUUUUUAGUGGUUAAGAACACAAACUUUGCAUGGUAGCUCAUCUCUACUAAAAAUACAAAAAUUAGCCAGGUGUGGUGGCAGGCGCCUGUAACCGCAGCUACUCAAGAGGCUGAGGCAGGAGAAUUGCCUGAACCCAGGAGGCGGAGUGAGCCAAGAUCCUGCCACUGCACUCCAGCCUGGGUGACAGAGCAAGACUCCAUCUCGAAUAAAUAAAUAAAUAAGUAAGUAAGUAAAAUAAAGUACACAGUGAAGCCAGGUGUUUGUAUCAUAUCUAUCUGCAGCUAUAAAAUAGGAGAAGCAGACAUUGCUAUUUGAGCAAAGACAUCAUAUGGUUCUAAGCCACAAAGACUAUUACCCUUUCCAGUUGCAAACCAAAGACACUAUAAAUAUGGAGAAUGAGCAACACUGUUAGCCACAAAAGCCAUACUCAUGUACUUGAUGGGCAAUGAUUUCAGAUUUUAUUUUUAAAUAAAACUUUUUUUCCCUUUUAAAAAAUUUUUGUUUUAUUUUCUUUUUUAAUUUUUCUUUUCUGCUUCAUCCACUGACUCUCAGACUUUUUUUUUUUUUUUUUUUUUGAGACAGGGUCUCACUCUCUGACCUCAGCUGGAGUACAGUAGCCAGAUCACAACUCACUGCAACCCUGACUUCCUGAACUCAAGCAAUCCUCCUGCCUUAGCCUCUUGAAUAGCCGGGACUACAGGUGUGCAUGUCCAUGCCCAGCCAACUUUAUUUCUAUUUUUUGUAGAGACAGGCUCUUGCCAUGUUGCCCGGGCUGGUCCUGAACUGCUGAAUUCAAGUGAUCCUCCCACCUUGGCCUCCAGAAGUGCUGGGAUUAUGGGUGUGAGCCACCAUGCCUAGCCAAAAUGUUUCUUAAGGUAUACAUUUUGGGUCUUAGAAGACUUAUACAUUUGUAAUAUUUAUUACUAAAUAUCUCAAAGUAUUACAAUAAAUGUUACCAUGUGAGCUACUUUGAAUCAGGCUUCUUGCACACCAAUUUAAAAAUGUUAACUCUUGAUAUAUACACUAGUUAUACCACUCAUGUCAGUCAAUAAAUUUUAAGGUUUAAGUGCAGGCCUUUGUUUACAGAAAUCCUAAUUUUUUGAAACCAUAACUCUGACCUGACACUAAAUUCCUGUAGACAUGCUAAGGAAAAUCUGCUUAGUAUCGAGAUCAAGAACUUUCAUUCAAAAAGAUUAUUCAGUUAUGUUAUUUGCAUAUUACCAUUAUUAAAAAUAAAAAAAUUUUUAAAA